CCUCGAAGAUUUUGGGGAUCAACUGCCCCCACUCGCUCGCUCUCCUUCCGGCCGGCCCCUCAGCCAGAGAUCUGAUUAGAUUCUCAUCACAACCCAGUGCGCAAUCGGAUUUCUGAUUUCAGCCGCCCGCCGGGGCGAGCCGCCUUCCUCCCCGCUCCCCGCCAGCUCGGCCGGCUGCCGUCUCCUUCCCUCCGCAAUUUCAGGAUCUCACGCAUGCCAGUUUUUCAUCCGGAAACCUAGGAGUUUUAAGCUAUAAAGAGGAAAAACAGUGAAAUCAAAUCACCACUAGGAUUCAAAAUUAUCACCAGGCACACAAAGCUGUUGCUUUCGGAUUGCAGGGGUAACAUGGUGACAACGUCUAAGACCAUCAUCAGCAUACAGAGUGUCAUCAUCAACACUGAUUCCCAGAGGGUUUGUUAUUUGCUCAUGAACAAUGGUACUACAGAGGUCACUGGAGAAAUUCAACUCCACCAUCUCAGCCUUCCUUAGUUGGCCCUGGCAUAUUUCUUGGCAAUUUCAGAAGUUCAAGGGAAUAAACAGGGAAAGGUGUUUGUAUGAGAGGUAGAGGGACAUCACUGUGGCAUGUUAAAUUAAUGAAUGACAUGACAAAUUUACCAAAGACAUCCCAAGGACAGACAGUAUGCAGAUGAAUCUCAAAAGAAGAACAAUGGGAUGAAGGAGAGAAACUGGGAACUGACUGGAGGUUAUGAAAACCUAAGGCAGUAGUUUUGGAGCUGGGAAAAAAAAAAAAAAAAAAAAAAACAAAAAAAAAAAAACUUCUGUAUGCAGAAUGUCUUGUGCCAGAGUCUACACAAUUUUAUUAUUUUGCUUUAAUACUGUUUGUUCCUAUGCAUGAAUGUCUUCUUUGGAGGCACCACAAAAUCUUCCUUCAGUAUAAUGAAAUGUUUUCUACAAAUGUUGCUGUCUGGUAAUGCAAUGGGUUGCCGGCAAGGUCCACUCAGUUUGCUCCAACAUAGGCUGCUAGCUGUGCCUACUCCUCCCAGCAAUUUUAAAUUAAAUCUACAGUUUCUAAGCAUCAUUGCUGAUAAAAUAUGGCCUUCUAUAGCAAAAUGAGAGAGCUAAGUUCAAAAUUAAGUAGAAGAUGGACUUAUUUACUAGUAGAAUUUGGAGCAAAAACUCUUCAAUUGGGUGUCAAUUUUUCCGAAUUUUUUAAUAAUUAUAACUUGUGGUUCUUUUCAUUAUUUGAUUUGAUUUGAUUUGAUUUUAAAAUAAAAUAUCCAGCAAAUUGGAAAGCUGGGAACAAUU
Molecule: long non-coding RNA, 1266 nt
Organism: Cavia porcellus (domestic guinea pig)
Lineage: Eukaryota; Metazoa; Chordata; Mammalia; Rodentia; Caviidae
Exons: 5
Source: RefSeq, a predicted model, not a curated record